Non-coding RNA from Paramuricea clavata, 415 nucleotides. NCBI's taxonomy places the organism in Eukaryota, Metazoa, Cnidaria, Anthozoa, Malacalcyonacea, Plexauridae. The record is from the annotation of a GenBank genome assembly.
UCACUAGAACUUGUUGUCCCUCCAAACGUCAACUAGACCCAGUCCUCUGCUCGAUUGGGAAAUGGCUAAUUAACAAACACUCACAACAAGAAAUGUAUUUCCUUUCUUUUAUUAUUUGAUCAGCAGAUUGGGUAGACAGCAUGUAUACAGUUGCCAGUGGAUUUUAUCAUUUCAACUCUAAGACAUUGUCAACAUUCUGAAAAAAAUUGAAUUUCCACGAAAACACACCGAAUUGUAACACUUCUCUCUACUAUUGCACUAAUAUUUUUAAUUGCUAAAUUUCAUUUUCGAACUUCUUCUUUUUCACUCAGUCGCUAUCACUGCUACUACCAGAUGAGUCGGACCACGGUCGAUCUAAACAGGAAGAACACAUAUGUACGUUAGGGAGUGGUCAUAAUUUAUCAGGGGGGGUGGG